GAUGAACGCUGGCGGCGUGCCUAAUACAUGCAAGUCGAGCGAACAGACGAGGAGCUUGCUCCUCUGACGUUAGCGGCGGACGGGUGAGUAACACGUGGAUAACCUACCUAUAAGACUGGGAUAACUUCGGGAAACCGGGGCUAAUACCGGAUAAUAUAUUGAACCGCAUGGUUCAAUAGUGAAAGACGGUUUUGCUGUCACUUAUAGAUGGAUCCGCGCCGCAUUAGCUAGUUGGUAAGGUAACGGCUUACCAAGGCAACGAUGCGUAGCCGACCUGAGAGGGUGAUCGGCCACACUGGAACUGAGACACGGUCCAGACUCCUACGGGAGGCAGCAGUAGGGAAUCUUCCGCAAUGGGCGAAAGCCUGACGGAGCAACGCCGCGUGAGUGAUGAAGGUCUUCGGAUCGUAAAACUCUGUUAUUAGGGAAGAACAUAUGUGUAAGUAACUAUGCACGUCUUGACGGUACCUAAUCAGAAAGCCACGGCUAACUACGUGCCAGCCGCCGCAGUAA
This 513-nucleotide ribosomal RNA is filed under the name uncultured bacterium. Its description in RNAcentral is "partial 16S ribosomal RNA". It matches the Rfam family "Bacterial small subunit ribosomal RNA", at positions 28 to 523 of the family's 1533-position model. The record is from RNAcentral.